Molecule: ribosomal RNA, 467 nt
Filed under: uncultured bacterium
Lineage: Bacteria
Description: partial 16S ribosomal RNA
Rfam family: Bacterial small subunit ribosomal RNA
Source: RNAcentral
GAUGAACGCUGGCGGCGUGCUUAACACAUGCAAGUCGAACGGAAAGGCCUCUGCUUGCAGGGGUACUCGAGUGGCGAACGGGUGAGUAACACGUGGGUGAUCUGCCCUGCACUUCGGGAUAAGCCUGGGAAACUGGGUCUAAUACCGGAUAGGACAAUGGUUUGGAUGCUGUUGUGGAAAGUUUUUCGGUGUGGGAUGAGCUCGCGGCCUAUCAGCUUGUUGGUGGGGUAAUGGCCUACCAAGGCGUCGACGGGUAGCCGGCCUGAGAGGGGGUACGGCCACAUUGGGACUGAGAUACGGCCCAGACUCCUACGGGAGGCAGCAGUGGGGAAUAUUGCACAAUGGGCGCAAGCCUGAUGCAGCGACGCCGCGUGGGGGGUGACGGCCUUCGGGUUGUAAACUCCUUUCGCUAGGGACGAAGCGUUUUUGUGACGGUACCUGGAGAAGAAGCACCGGCUAACUACGUG